Molecule: ribosomal RNA, 492 nt
Filed under: uncultured bacterium
Lineage: Bacteria
Description: partial 16S ribosomal RNA
Rfam family: Bacterial small subunit ribosomal RNA
Source: RNAcentral
AGUGAACGCUGGCGGCAGGCCUAACACAUGCAAGUCGAACGGCAGCACAGUAAGAGCUUGCGCUAACGGGUGGCGAGUCGCGGACGGGAGAGGAAAACAUCGGAAUCUACUCUUUCGUGGGGGUUAACGUAGGGAAACUUACGCUAAUACCGCAGACGACCUACGGGGGAAAGCGGUGGAUCGUCGGACCGGGCGCGGAUGAAUGAGCCGAUGUCGGAUUAGCUGGUGGGCUGGGUAAAGGCCCACGAGGGCGACGGUCCGUAGCUGGUCUGAGAGGAUGAUCGGCCACCCUGGAACUUGGCCACGGUCAAUGCUCCUAAGGGACGCAGCAGUGUGGAAUAUUGGACAGUGGGCGCAAGCCUGAUCCAGCCAUCCCGCGUGUGUGAAGACGGCCUUCGGGUUGUAAAGCCCUUCUGUUGGGAAAGAACAGCAUCCGCUUAAUACCCCGCUGUUCUGACGGUACCCGAAGAAUAAGCACCGGCUAACUUCGUG